Long non-coding RNA from Sapajus apella (tufted capuchin), 2196 nucleotides. RefSeq lists it as uncharacterized. NCBI's taxonomy places the organism in Eukaryota, Metazoa, Chordata, Mammalia, Primates, Cebidae. The transcript has 3 exons. The record is from RefSeq and is a predicted model, not a curated record.
CACACUCUGUGGCACUGGGGGUUAGGACUUCAACAUACGAAUUUUGGGAGAACACCAUUCAGCCCAUAACAGAAGCUGACUGUGAAAGACAGGAGUUGGUAGGGGGAUGGGGCAAAGCCAGAUCAGGAAAGGCCUUGACUCUUAGGGCUUCACGUUUUAGGACUUAAGAUGCUGGCUUCUGGUUUGAGCCUUGGGAGGCUCAUUGGAAAGCGAAAACAUCUCAGUUUCCCAUCCCGUUUCUGGUAAUUCUGGGAGGGGUGAAAUCUCUCAGGCCUACAGCCCCCAGAGUCUGAGAUCAGAGCCACGCCCCAAGGAGUGGCUAGCAUUGUCCCUCUGCCUGGGCCCUGUGGAAAAUCCCCGCCCAGCUGGGUGGGUCCCGGAAGCUUAUCAAGUGAGAAACUUUCCUGCCUUCCAGAAACUCCCAUUUGGAUAGACAUGGAUGCGCAGAGCACACGCUAAGCAGUCUUACGGGUAACUGAGGGCUCCACUUCGCCGAGAGGAGGAGAAAGACCCGGAAGACUGCAGUUCUGCCUUGGCCGUCAGAGGAGUCUGGGCCCCACCUGCCUCCCUGGCUGCGCAUUCAGGUCACUCCCCUUCCUGCUUUCCUCCUCCAUAAAAUGAGGAGUGACACGCUUGAGAAGAGUGAUGAAUAAUAUUGAGGAUGAUUCAACGUCUCUUGGUUUUACUCCUGCACCACCCAAAGAGAAAAUAAUAAGACAAGAACAUUUCCUUUUCUAUCUCAGUGUCAUAAUAUGACAUUGUAUUAUUACAGUGCAGUGUAACCGCAUUUCAGAAGACCAUGCGUAGCUCAAAACACUGAAGUAGGUGGGGAGGCCAAGGCCCUAAUUCUCCAAGGAGAUGGGACCGGUGCUGGGUUCUAGGGCGUGUUCAGCGUCAGAACCAUCAGCGGGGUAAGUUCCUUUUGCUAAGGGUUCUUCUAGCCCCUGAGCCCUAAGGUUCUGGGGUAGACAAUUCCGGAUGCCACAGGGCUCUAGAAGAAGGAGAAAGGUUGGGCUUAGGUGGGCCCUCUGGGGUCUCAGUCUGCAGGGUCUGCCUCCCGGUGGCAGGGCUGGAAGCCAGCGCUGGGACUCCUGGAGCUCAGGGGGAGUUCAAGGCUGAGGAGCAGCCCAUCUCCACCAGAGGUCAGCAUUACAGAGACGUCCGAGGCACGGCAGCCACACAGCCAGGCUCAGGAGGCAGCUCCGUGCUUGAGCGGGCUCAACCAUGUCCAGUUCUUUCCUCCUCCCCAACCACCCUCAGGCCUCGGGCAGUCCUAAGAGUGGGAGAUGCUGUAGUGCUAGUGUUGUGCCUUCUUGGCAAGCGUAGAUUGCGGCUGGAUACCCGUGGACCCACGGGACCCAGAAACUGAUGGGUCAUUCAUCAGCUGAGCCCUGCAGCAUCGGGGCAGCUACCUCUCUGUGCUCACACCGAGCUGUGGACUAUCCCACUGGCUUCUGUCAAAGCCUUGGGCAGGCGGGCGGUCACGUUCUACACUUCAAGGAACUAAUGUGCUGUGAACCUAUGUGAAUUUUUCUCCACUCAAUCUCACUGUCCUUGAGAGAGAUGGGUUCCAUUUACGAGAUGUCUCUGCCGCCCCCCUUCUCUGAAGCAACAGUAGGUCAUGUCUGAAUGCAGAAGCAAGGCCUCAUGCUGGGAAAACACAUCCUGACUGUAGACUCUCAGGCUUCUAGAGUCAAAGCCAAAGUUUCAAGUCCUCUAUUACUAAGAAGCCACAUGGCCCUGAGCCAGUGAAGUAACUCUCUGAACCUCAGUGUACCAAUCUGUAAGAUAGAGAUCAUCAUGUAAGUGAUGGCAUUGAAACUUACAUUGGGGAAAAGCAUCUAAGUGUGCUUUUGCAGUGCCUGGUAAUACCCUUUACCUAAUAGGAUGUAACACGCUACCUAUUACUACGAGAGGAGGGAAAUCACAUCUCUCUGAUUCUACUUUGUGACAAACUACCUGUGAUAGGAAAAUUGGAAUUGGAGUCCUCUCCUUAAUAUGGGCCUUUGAUAUGAAAAACUGUACCUGUUUCCUAAUGAACCUACCCAUCCUAACCCAUCCUCAAAGAUGCCUCCAGAGUGAGCAUCCUAAGGCUUAGAUGUGAUCCUUCAGCUCAGCGUGAGCCAGCAGGAAUAUAACAGAAGCUGCAUAUGUGAUUUAAAUUUUCUUAGUAGACACACUGAAAAAAUAAAGGAG